CGUUUCGAUACGGAACAGCUUCGAAGCACGGAACCAAAGCCAUGUGACUCACACCAGCCAGUCACUGCUGCUGCGUGUGUUGUGCGGUGUGCGGGUGUUGGAUUCUGUGUUUUCUCGGACAAUGGUUGUUCAAGUGAAAUAGAAAUACCUAAGCCUUACCAUAAGCCUAUUCCCAACGGGCCACCGGGGAUGAUUUGGAGAUUAAAUUGGAAUUUUCUCUGAUGAAUUUGUCGGGAUCUGCGUGAGGACACUCAACGCAGGUAUUCUCCGCGUUUCAUGCAUGCCUGCAGGAACAAGCCACGAGUUUGCCUUCCGACCUGCAGGUUGUGUUUGCAAAGUACUUGUUACGGAUGAACAGUUCCCGCCGUGAAGUGGAAGUGUGUUGUUCGAAGGUUAAAGGUUUGGGAGCUGGAGUGAACUGACCUAAAAAGACCUAAAAAAUCUUUUCGUCAUAAAAUUUUUGCUGCAAUUUCUGGUGACCAAAUAUUUGUUAUUUGAGAGUAAAAAUGCCAAAAAAUACACUCAUCCUGUACAUAAUUCGACAGAGUUUGACAAACAUCAUAAAGUUAAGGAGUAUCAUAUUUACUGAAUGAAAAUAACAAUAUAUUUUACAAACUUAUAGUAGCUUCCUUCAGCAUGGCGGUAGUGUUGUAAUGCUACAGUUUAUGAGUAAUACCUUGUUUAAAUAUAUAUAUUUUGUUUGUUGUCAAUUACUCGUGUAUUGUGUGUUUUUUUUUUAAUAUUGUAUUGUUGGUUUCCUACAUUUUUAUCAUUGCAUCCUUAUUCUCUCUUUCCAUGUUUCCCUUCCCUUCCCCACCUGUCCUUGUCUCGUUGUGAUUCAGUGUCAACAUACCAGUUAUUCCCUCUGUGCAUUUGUUCUUACUCUUCCAUUUCAUUAAAUUUUCUUUUUAUACCUUAAUUUUUCAUCACUGUUUCCUCACCCUCCCUUUGUUUUUUUCUCACUUGUUCUCAGUUUCUCCUUUCACUGUUGCCUCCGUCCUUCCUUGUUUUACGUCCACCUCAUUUUUUUUCUUCAUUACCACUCCCUCAUUCUCUCUUCAUGUCCUUCCAUUUGUUUUUACUUCUCUUACUGUUUCUCUCAGGUCUCGUUCCCCGUCUAUCCCACUUCUUGGUCCCCUCACCAUUGCCGCCUCAUUCUUCCUCCUCGUCUCCCUCCCUACUCUUGCACACAUUACUUCACUGCCUCCAGUGGCCUCCAGUAUUCGUCGGCUACUUCCUCACGAUGUAAGCUUCUUAGCACCUCCAUCACACCCUUGUUGACUUCAAGAUUUUACCCUCCCGACUCUUGACAUAACUUCACCUCUCAUACUUUACACUUUCCUUUUCCCUUUCCUUCCUUUCCCUUCCUCUCUUCUCUUCCAACCUUCAACGUGGUCUUUCCCAAUUCAAACUUUCCAUCUCCUUUCACUCUUUAUCUCAUAUCCUUACUUUUCUGUAGUCUAUACCCUUGUUUCUUAUAUUCUAGACUCUCUCUCUCUCUCUCUCUCUCUCUCUCUCUCUCUCUCUCUCUCUCUCUCUCUCUCUCUCUCUCUCUCUCUCUCUCUCUCUCUCUCUCUCUCUCUCUCUCUCUCUCUCUCUCUCUCUCUCUCUCUCUUAUAACUUUUCAACUUAUUAUUGCUUAGUAACCCUUCCUAACCCUGUUCACUUGCCCUUUCCUGUUCCUACUUUUAUAACUGCCAUACCUGCCUAUCCCAACCUUUCUCUUACCUCUCCAUUUUCCAGCCAUCCCUGUUCAUCUUAGCCUCUCCUUUCUCUUACCCUCUCAUCCCUGUCCAUUUAAGGCUUCUUCUCUUAUCUUCCCAUCCUAGCAUCUUUCUUUUCUUGGCUUCCACCCCAGCCUCUUCCUUCUGCUGUCAUUCCACUCCAGCUUCAUCCUCAUCUUGUCCUUCCAUCCUUGUUCAUCCCAUCCUCUUCCUCCUCUUGUUAUUUCAUUUCAACUUCUUCCCUUCCCAUCCCUGUUAAUCCCAGCUUCUUCCUUUUCACUGUCAUUUCAUCGCAGUUUUUCCUUAUCUUGUCCUUCCAUCCUUCUCCAUCCCUGCCUCAUCCUUAUCUUCUUUUCCUUGUACCGUCAUUCCGUUCCUAUUUUCUUCCGUAUCUUAUACUAUCUCUGUUAAUCUCAGCCACUUUCCUGGCCUUCCUCUCCCCAUCCAUCGAUCUUCUCCGCUCAUGAACUAUUCCAGCACCUCCUAUCCACCUCCUCUCCAUCAAGCUUUCCCUCUCCUCAUCCCCCAUUCAAGGCUACCUGAAUAGACCACCUGUGCAAUA
This is a long non-coding RNA of Scylla paramamosain (green mud crab), 2286 nucleotides long. RefSeq lists it as uncharacterized. The record is from RefSeq and is a predicted model, not a curated record. The transcript has 3 exons. NCBI's taxonomy places the organism in Eukaryota, Metazoa, Arthropoda, Malacostraca, Decapoda, Portunidae.